GACCGCUGCGGAAUGACCUAUUCUGUCUUGUAAACAGGGGGUCACCGGUUCGAAUCCGGUAGGGGGCUC
This 69-nucleotide transfer RNA is filed under the name Mycobacteroides abscessus subsp. abscessus. RNAcentral describes it as "tRNA-Thr(tgt)". Lineage: Bacteria; Bacillati; Actinomycetota; Actinomycetes; Mycobacteriales; Mycobacteriaceae. The record is from RNAcentral.